RNAcentral lists this ribosomal RNA (253 nucleotides) under uncultured bacterium. RNAcentral's name for it is "partial 16S ribosomal RNA". It matches the Rfam family "Bacterial small subunit ribosomal RNA", at positions 524 to 776 of the family's 1533-position model. The record is from RNAcentral.
UACGUAGGUGGCAAGCGUUGUCCGGAUUUACUGGGCGUAAAGAGCGCGCAGGCGGUCGUUCAAGUCGCGUGUGAAAGCCCCCGGCUCAACUGGGGAGGGUCUCGCGAUACUGAUCGACUCGAAGGCAGGAGAGGGAAGUGGAAUUCCCGGUGUAGUGGUGAAAUGCGUAGAUAUCGGGAGGAACACCAGUGGCGAAGGCGACUUCCUGGCCUGUUCUUGACGCUGAGGCGCGAAAGCUAGGGGAGCAAACGGG